This 63-nucleotide transfer RNA is filed under the name Ictidomys tridecemlineatus (thirteen-lined ground squirrel). RNAcentral describes it as "Spermophilus tridecemlineatus (thirteen-lined ground squirrel) tRNA". It matches the Rfam family "tRNA", at positions 5 to 66 of the family's 71-position model. Rfam says of the family: Transfer RNA (tRNA) molecules are approximately 80 nucleotides in length. Their secondary structure includes four short double-helical elements and three loops (D, anti-codon, and T loops). Lineage: Eukaryota; Metazoa; Chordata; Mammalia; Rodentia; Sciuridae. The record is from Rfam by way of RNAcentral.
AUAUAGCUCAGUAGUAGAGUGCUUGCCUAGCAUAUGUGAGGCCCUGAGUUCAAUUCUCAGUAU